UACGAAGGUCCCAAGCGUUAUCCGGAUUUAUUGGGUUUAAAGGGUGCGUAGGCGGGCUAUUAAGUCAGUGGUGAAAUCUCCGAGCCUAACUCGGAAAUUGCCAUUGAUACUGAUGGUCUUGAGUACAUUUGAAGUGGGCGGAAUGUGUCAUGUAGCGGUGAAAUGCUUAGAUAUGACACAGAACACCGAUAGCGUAGGCAGCUCACUAAACUGUAACUGACGCUGAGGCACGAAAGCGUGGGGAGCAAACAGG
Molecule: ribosomal RNA, 253 nt
Filed under: uncultured bacterium
Lineage: Bacteria
Description: partial 16S ribosomal RNA
Rfam family: Bacterial small subunit ribosomal RNA
Source: RNAcentral